GUGGAGACCCGGACUGGCGCCGGCGCCAGCUGGAGGGAGACGCCCCCGGGCAAGAGCUUACGAUUCUUCAUCAACUCGUAAAAUGAGAUCGCCGCGGAGCUCGAGCCUAUUUGGCGUCUCCGGAGACUAGCAAGACCCUCUGAAAGACACCGCGUCCCCAGGGAUAAUCCCCCGUGUCCGGCAAAGCUGCCCCGCUCGAGCGCGAACCCUGGGACCCAGCGCGGGAGGCAGACCAGCAGCUGGCCGCUGGGCUGUGAACGCCAGGACCGAGCGGAAGCUUCCCGCCCGGCCGCGAUCGGUGCCGCGGCUCUCAGGGAAGUGGCUACGCGCGUCCCUCGGGAAAGCAGAUUAUCGGAGCCCUUUCAGAGAGCGCACAACAAAUGCGCCCGCCAUCGAAUGCAUCAUUUACCACCGCAGAUCCGAGCGCUGAUGGGCAGGCAGAUAGCCCUCUGCUGGGGGCACGCGGGCUCCCCGUGCCCGUACCACUCGCCUGCCUGCCGGGGCCACUGAGUGUGCGCCCCGGUGUGCCCG
RNAcentral lists this long non-coding RNA (531 nucleotides) under Homo sapiens (human). Its description in RNAcentral is "non-protein coding GATA2-AS1:9". The record is from RNAcentral. Lineage: Eukaryota; Metazoa; Chordata; Mammalia; Primates; Hominidae.